GACGAACGCUGGCGGCGUGCUUAACACAUGCAAGUCGAACGGAAAGGCCCUGCUUUUGUGGGGUGCUCGAGUGGCGAACGGGUGAGUAACACGUGAGUAACCUGCCCUUGACUUUGGGAUAACUUCAGGAAACUGGGGCUAAUACCGGAUAGGAGCUCCUGCUGCAUGGUGGGGGUUGGAAAGUUUCGGCGGUUGGGGAUGGACUCGCGGCUUAUCAGCUUGUUGGUGGGGUAGUGGCUUACCAAGGCUUUGACGGGUAGCCGGCCUGAGAGGGUGACCGGCCACAUUGGGACUGAGAUACGGCCCAGACUCCUACGGGAGGCAGCAGUGGGGAAUAUUGCACAAUGGGCGGAAGCCUGAUGCAGCAACGCCGCGUGCGGGAUGACGGCCUUCGGGUUGUAAACCGCUUUCGCCUGUGACGAAGCGUGAGUGACGGUAAUGGGUAAAGAAGCACCGGCUAACUACGUGCCAGCAGCCGCGGUGAUACGUAGGGUGCGAGCGUUGUCCGGAUUUAUUGGGCGUAAAGGGCUCGUAGGUGGUUGAUCGCGUCGGAAGUGUAAUCUUGGGGCUUAACCCUGAGCGUGCUUUCGAUACGGGUUGACUUGAGGAAGGUAGGGGAGAAUGGAAUUCCUGGUGGAGCGGUGGAAUGCGCAGAUAUCAGGAGGAACACCAGUGGCGAAGGCGGUUCUCUGGGCCUUUCCUGACGCUGAGGAGCGAAAGCGUGGGGAGCGAACAGGCUUAGAUACCCUGGUAGUCCACGCUGUAAACGGUGGGUACUAGGUGUGGGGUCCAUUCCACGGGUUCCGUGCCGUAGCUAACGCUUUAAGUACCCCGCCUGGGGAGUACGGCCGCAAGGCUAAAACUCAAAGGAAUUGACGGGGCCCCGCACAAGCGGCGGAGCAUGCGGAUUAAUUCGAUGCAACGCGUAGAACCUUACCUGGGUUUGACAUGGAUCGGGAGUGCUCAGAGAUGGGUGUGCCUCUUUUGGGGUCGGUUCACAGGUGGUGCAUGCCUGUCGUCAGCUCGUGUCGUGAGAUGUUGGGUUAAGUCCCGCAACGAGCGCAACCCUUGUUCACUGUUGCCAGCACGUUAUGGUGGGGACUCAGUGGAGACCGCCGGGGUCAACUCGGAGGAAGGUGGGGAUGACGUCAAGUCCUCAUACCCCUUAUGUCCAGGGCUUCACGCAUGCUACAAUGGCUGGUACAGAGAGUGGCGAGCCUGUGAGGGUGAGCGAAUCUCGGAAAGCCGGUCUCAGUUCGGAUUGGGGUCUGCAACUCGACCUCAUGAAGUCGGAGUCGCUAGUAAUCGCAGAUCAGCAACGCUGCGGUGAAUAAGGUCCCGGG
Molecule: ribosomal RNA, 1343 nt
Filed under: uncultured bacterium
Lineage: Bacteria
Description: 16S ribosomal RNA
Rfam family: Bacterial small subunit ribosomal RNA
Source: RNAcentral